This 500-nucleotide ribosomal RNA is filed under the name uncultured bacterium. RNAcentral's name for it is "partial 16S ribosomal RNA". It matches the Rfam family "Bacterial small subunit ribosomal RNA", at positions 29 to 523 of the family's 1533-position model. The record is from RNAcentral.
AAUGAACGCUGGCGGCAGGCCUAACACAUGCAAGUCGAGCGGAUGAGGAGAGCUUGCUCUCUGAUUUAGCGGCGGACGGGUGAGUAAUGCCUAGGAAUCUGCCUGGUAGUGGGGGAUAACGUCCGGAAACGGGCGCUAAUACCGCAUACGUCCUACGGGAGAAAGCAGGGGACCUUCGGGCCUUGCGCUAUCAGAUGAGCCUAGGUCGGAUUAGCUAGUUGGUGAGGUAAUGGCGCACCAAGGCUACGAUCCGUAACUGGUCUGAGAGGAUGAUCAGUCACACUGGAACUGAGACACGGUCCAGACUCCUACGGGAGGCAGCAGUGGGGAAUAUUGGACAAUGGGCGAAAGCCUGAUCCAGCCAUGCCGCGUGUGUGAAGAAGGUCUUCGGAUUGUAAAGCACUUUAAGUUGGGAGGAAGGGCAGUAAGUUAAUACCUUGCUGUUUUGACGUUACCGACAGAAUAAGCACCGGCUAACUUCGUGCCAGCCGCCGCGGUAA